RNAcentral lists this transfer RNA (77 nucleotides) under Basilea psittacipulmonis DSM 24701. Its description in RNAcentral is "tRNA-Arg (TCT) (tRNA-Arg-TCT-1-1)". It matches the Rfam family "tRNA". From Rfam's summary of the family: Transfer RNA (tRNA) molecules are approximately 80 nucleotides in length. Their secondary structure includes four short double-helical elements and three loops (D, anti-codon, and T loops). Further hydrogen bonds mediate the characteristic L-shaped molecular structure. tRNAs have two regions of fundamental functional importance: the anti-codon, which is responsible for specific mRNA codon recognition, and the 3' end, to which the tRNAs corresponding amino acid is attached (by aminoacyl-tRNA synthetases). tRNAs cope with the degeneracy of the genetic code in two manners: having more than one tRNA (with a specific anti-codon) for a particular amino acid; and 'wobble' base-pairing, i.e. permitting non-standard base-pairing at the 3rd anti-codon position. Lineage: Bacteria; Pseudomonadati; Pseudomonadota; Betaproteobacteria; Burkholderiales; Alcaligenaceae. The record is from RNAcentral.
GUCCCCAUAGCUCAACUGGAUAGAGCACUCGCCUUCUAAGCGAGGGGUUGUGAGUUCGAGUCUCGCUGGGGGCGCCA